AGUUAACUGCCAUGGAAGAGGCUGGCAGAAAGGAACUCAGACUGAAAGAUAGUAAAGGAUGGUUGUGUUUUGAACCAUAUAUUUCUUAAGAAAGACUAUCUUUUGUUUUGGCCUCUUUAUUUUUAAAAUAGUUGAACUUCCUGUACUGGAGUAACACCCCAUGCCUAGAGCCUCCCCCGCUGCUAUCAAAGGCAAUAGAUAUUAUAGAAGAGGAUUCCUGAAGGUAGAGAGGACUAAUUGGGGGAAAACGGUACAGAAGCAGUGACCAUGGAACCAAAAGAAGCUCUGUGCUCUGAGAAGAAGUGGAUGAGGAAUGAAUGGGGAAAGCACAAGUUAACAACAAUCAUGUGGACCCUGGGAUAUGCGAGUGAAGAAACAGUGAUGAUUCUCAGGAAGCCCUCCAACAGGUCCAGAGGACAGGAUUUUCCACAUGGCCCAUGCUGUGCAGAACACCAGCAUAGACAGACGGACAGAAUCACUGGUUUUGGAACUUGCCUUUCCAUACGCUGUUUUGAAUGAGAGCAAAAUCUGCUGCCGUUGCUUAUUAGAACGACUUCCAAGACAUUCAAUAAUUGCCUGUUCAUCGGUUCCUGUUCGUUGAUACAGACAGGGAAUUAAAUGAUUAGUAUGGCUUAUUCUAUUCUCAAAUGACUUCCUGUUCUUAUCAAUUUCAGUAGAAGUUAUUGCAGGAUUUCAGCUAAACGUGCAAAUUCAUUCAGGAACCAACAAAAGUCAGCCCUAUUGCAAGUCUUCUACUUUAAAUAAUCACUGCAUUGCAUUCCUUCACAUGCAUAUCCCCAUCUUUUUUUUUUUUUUUUUGCUGUAAACCUUGAGAUUGCUUUAAUGAAAGGCGGUAUAUAAAUUUAACAAUCAAUCAAUCAGUCGUCAACUACUACAUCUCUACUGUAUUGCACUUUUAGUGGUGAAGCUUCUAACACGGGUUGGCUGAGUUAGUAUGACAUCAUGGAAUACUCAUGAACAUUCUAGUUCCUCAAAAACACAGCAUUUUGGGUUUC
Hemicordylus capensis (graceful crag lizard) is the source of this 1016-nucleotide long non-coding RNA. RefSeq lists it as uncharacterized. NCBI's taxonomy places the organism in Eukaryota, Metazoa, Chordata, Lepidosauria, Squamata, Cordylidae. The transcript is spliced from 3 exons. The record is from RefSeq and is a predicted model, not a curated record.